GCGGCCGCCGGCAUCUGCCCAACUCGCUCGCGCUUUCCGCCCAGGGUUCUGAAAAAUAGAAGAAAAAAGGACAGGCUAGAGUGCAGUGGCGCCAUCUCAGCUAACUGCAACCUCUGCCUCCCAGGUUCAAGCGAUUCUCCUGCCUCAACCUCCCGAGUAGCUGGGAAUACAGCUGCACGCUUCCAUUCCCAGCCCCAGCCAGAGAAGAGGAGCCAACUCCUCACGGCAGAUCCCUUGAUAGAGGAGGAUGAACCGAAUCCAUGACCCUCCAGACCCGGGAAGCGACGCACCCUAGGCCUUGGCACCGCAAAGCCCGUGCUGAGCGCACGGACGGGUGCUGCCCGGGACUCGGCCAGGAGGGCGCCCAUGCCAACGCCUCUUGCAGGAUUAGUGCCUUCGGUUGGCAAAAGGCGGAUAAAGGAAGAGCGAAACCACAUCAGGAAGCUAAGGGUGGUCCACGCUCCCUGUCCUUUUACUUCCCGCGCCAAAGGCACAGUGAGGCUUGCUUAGAAAAGUCCAUCCCGCGAUUGG
This 531-nucleotide long non-coding RNA is filed under the name Homo sapiens (human). Its description in RNAcentral is "long non-coding RNA NONHSAT107720.2". Lineage: Eukaryota; Metazoa; Chordata; Mammalia; Primates; Hominidae. The record is from RNAcentral.